Molecule: transfer RNA, 84 nt
Filed under: Candidatus Melainabacteria bacterium
Lineage: Bacteria; Bacillati; Candidatus Melainabacteria
Also listed under: 4 other names
Description: tRNA-Leu
Rfam family: tRNA
About the family: Transfer RNA (tRNA) molecules are approximately 80 nucleotides in length.
Source: RNAcentral
GCCCUUGUGUCGGAACUGGUAUACGAGUCGCACUUAAAAUGCGAUGCCCGUAAGGGAUUGAGAGUUCGAAUCUCUCCGAGGGCA